GAUGAACGCUGACAGAAUGCUUAACACAUGCAAGUCUACUUGAUUCUACUUCGGUAGUUGAUGGUGGCGGACGGGUGAGUAACGCGUAAAGAAUCUGCCCUUAGUUUGGGAUAACCUUUGGAAACGGAGGCUAAUACCGGAUAUUAUGGAGACGUCGCAUGACGACUUCAUGAAAGCUAUAUGCGCUAGAGGAGGACUUUGCGUCCCAUUAGUUAGUUGGUGAGGUAAUGGCUCACCAAGACCGCGAUGGGUAGCCGGCCUGAGAGGGUGAUCGGCCACAAGGGAACUGAGACACGGUCCUUACUCCUACGGGAGGCAGCAGUGGGGAAUAUUGGACAAUGGGCUACAAGCCUGAUCCAGCAAUUCUGUGUGCACGAUGAAGGUCUUCGGAUUGUAAAGUGCUUUCAGUAGGGAAGAAAAAAAUGACGGUACCUACAGAAGAAGCGACGGUUAAAUAUGUGCCAGCAGCCGCAGUAA
This 477-nucleotide ribosomal RNA is filed under the name uncultured bacterium. RNAcentral describes it as "partial 16S ribosomal RNA". It matches the Rfam family "Bacterial small subunit ribosomal RNA", at positions 28 to 523 of the family's 1533-position model. The record is from RNAcentral.